GUGGGGAAUAUUGGACAAUGGGCGAAAGCCUGAUCCAGCCAUGCCGCGUGUGUGAAGAAGGUCUUCGGAUUGUAAAGCACUUUAAGUUGGGAGGAAGGGCAGUAAGUUAAUACCUUGCUGUUUUGACGUUACCGACAGAAUAAGCACCGGCUAACUUCGUGCCAGCAGCCGCGGUAAUACGAAGGGUGCAAGCGUUAAUCGGAAUUACUGGGCGUAAAGCGCGCGUAGGUGGUUUUGUAAGUUGGAGGUGGAAUCCCCGGGCGCAACCUGGGAACUGCCUCCAAAACUGCAUGACUAGAGUACGGUAGAGGGUAGUGGAAUUUCCUGUGUAGCGGUGAAAUGCGUAGAUAUAGGAAGGAACACCAGUGGCGAAGGCGACUACCUGGACUGAUACUGACACUGAGGUGCGAAAGCGUGGGGAGCAAACAGGAUUAGAAACCCUAGUAGUCC
Molecule: ribosomal RNA, 450 nt
Filed under: uncultured bacterium
Lineage: Bacteria
Description: partial 16S ribosomal RNA
Rfam family: Bacterial small subunit ribosomal RNA
Source: RNAcentral